CUCAUUAAAAGAGUGCGUAAUAGCUCACUGGUCGAGUGACUCUGCGCCGAAAAUUUAACGGGGCUAAACUAUACACCGAAGCUUGGGAUACAUCUAAUGUAUGGUAGGAGAGCGUUCUGUAUGGGGAGAAGUCGUAGCGAAAGCGGCGGUGGACUAUACAGAAGUGAGAAUGCCGGAAUAAGUAGCGAGAAUUAAGUGAGAAUCUUAAUGGCCGAAAGUCUAAGGUUUUUGGAGGAAGGUUCGUCCGCUCCAAGUAAGUCGGGAGCUAAGGUCAGGCCGAAAGGCGUAGCCGAUGCACAUACGGUUGAUAUUCCGUAACCAUCUGUAAUUUAAGCAAAGGGACACUUCAAAAGGGUGUGACCCGGGCGUUGGUUGACCCGGGCGUAAGGGACCGAAAUUAGAGUAGGGAAGCACACUUAGCUGAAGGCGAGAAAAGCUUUGCGAAUAGAAACAGAUGCCCGUACCGCAAACCGACACAGGUGGACAGGAAGAGAAUUCUAAGGCCAGCGGGAGAAGGGUAGUUAAGGAACUCGGCAAAUUGACUCCGUAACUUCGGAAUAAGGAGUGCUCGAAAGAGCCGCAGAGAAUAGGCCCAGGCGACUGUUUAGCAAAAACACAGGUCUCUGCCAAAUCGAAAGAUGAAGUAUAGGGGCUGACACCUGCCCGGUGCCGGAAGGUUAAGAGGAGGAGUGAGAGCUCCGAAUUGAAGCCCCGGUAAACGGCGGCCGUAACUAUAACGGUCCUAAGGUAGCGAAAUUCCUUGUCGGGUAAGUUCCGACCCGCACGAAUGGUGUAACGAUCUGGGCACUGUCUCAACUACCCACCCGGCGAAAUUGUAGUACCGGUGAAGAUGCCGGUUACCUGCGGCAAGACGGAAAGACCCCAUGGAGCUUUACUGUAGCCUGAUAUUGGGUUUCGGAAAUCUAUGUACAGGAUAGGCGGGAGACUGGGAAACAUGAGCGUCAGCUUGUGUGGAGUCGAUGUUGGGAUACCGCCCUUAGGUUUCUGGAAUUCUAACCUGCGGCCGUGAAUCCGGUCGGGGGACAUUGUCAGGUGGGCAGUUUGACUGGGGCGGUCGCCUCCGAAAAGGUAACGGAGGCGCUCAAAGGUUAGCUCAGCACGGACGGAAACCGUGCCUCUGAGUGUAAACGCAAAAGCUAGCCUAACUGCGAGGGUGACGGCCCGAGCAGUAACGAAAGUUGGAGUUAGUGAUCCGGCGGUAUGUGAAUGGAAAUGCCGUCGCUCAACGGAUAAAAGCUACCCUGGGGAUAACAGGCUGAUCUCCCCCAAGAGUCCACAUCGACGGGGAGGUUUGGCACCUCGAUGUCGGCUCAUCACAUCCUGGGGCUGUAUUCGGUCCCAAGGGUUCGGCUGUUCGCCGAUUAAAGUGGUACGCGAGCUGGGUUCAGAACGUCGCGAGACAGUUCGGUCCCUAUCUGUCGUGGGCGCAGGAUAUUUGAGGAGCUCUGUCCUUAGUACGAGAGGACCGGGAUGGACGUACCUCUGGUGCACCAGUUGUCAUGCCAAUGGCACGGCUGGGCAGCUAUGUACGGAACGGAUAAACGCUGAAAGCAUCUAAGCGUGAAGCCGACUCCAAGAUUAGAUAUCCCAUCGUAUAACGAGUAAGACCCCUUGAAGACUACGAGGUUGAUAGGCUGCGUGUGUAAGUGCCGUGAGGCAUUCAGCUUGGCAGUACUAAUAGGUCGAGGGCUUGACCA
Molecule: ribosomal RNA, 1718 nt
Filed under: human gut metagenome
Description: bacterial LSU rRNA
Rfam family: Bacterial large subunit ribosomal RNA
Source: RNAcentral